GCUGCAGUUAAAAAGCUCGUAGUUGGACCUUGGGUUGGGUCGGUCGGUCCGCCGCAUGGUGUGCACCGGCCUUUUCGUCCCUCCUGCCGGCGAUGCGCUCCUGUCCUUAACUGGACGGGUCGUGCCCUCGGUACCGUUACUGUGAAGAAAUUAGAGUGCUCAAAGCAAGCCCACGCUCCGGAUACCUUAGCAUGGGAUAACAUCAUAGGAUUUCGGUCCUACUGUGUUGGCCUUCGGGAUUGGAGUAAUGAUUAAGAGGGACAGUC
RNAcentral lists this ribosomal RNA (266 nucleotides) under Caryota mitis (Burmese fishtail palm). RNAcentral's name for it is "partial small subunit ribosomal RNA". It matches the Rfam family "Eukaryotic small subunit ribosomal RNA", at positions 612 to 883 of the family's 1831-position model. Lineage: Eukaryota; Viridiplantae; Streptophyta; Magnoliopsida; Arecales; Arecaceae. The record is from RNAcentral.